This 620-nucleotide ribosomal RNA is filed under the name Pseudomonas asturiensis. Its description in RNAcentral is "bacterial SSU rRNA". It matches the Rfam family "Bacterial small subunit ribosomal RNA", at positions 56 to 670 of the family's 1533-position model. The record is from RNAcentral. Lineage: Bacteria; Pseudomonadati; Pseudomonadota; Gammaproteobacteria; Pseudomonadales; Pseudomonadaceae.
UGCAAGUCGAGCGGUAGAGAGAAGCUUGCUUCUCUUGAGAGCGGCGGACGGGUGAGUAAUGCCUAGGAAUCUGCCUGGUAGUGGGGGAUAACGUUCGGAAACGAACGCUAAUACCGCAUACGUCCUACGGGAGAAAGCAGGGGACCUUCGGGCCUUGCGCUAUCAGAUGAGCCUAGGUCGGAUUAGCUAGUUGGUGAGGUAAUGGCUCACCAAGGCGACGAUCCGUAACUGGUCUGAGAGGAUGAUCAGUCACACUGGAACUGAGACACGGUCCAGACUCCUACGGGAGGCAGCAGUGGGGAAUAUUGGACAAUGGGCGAAAGCCUGAUCCAGCCAUGCCGCGUGUGUGAAGAAGGUCUUCGGAUUGUAAAGCACUUUAAGUUGGGAGGAAGGGCAGUUACCUAAUACGUAAUUGUUUUGACGUUACCGACAGAAUAAGCACCGGCUAACUCUGUGCCAGCAGCCGCGGUAAUACAGAGGGUGCAAGCGUUAAUCGGAAUUACUGGGCGUAAAGCGCGCGUAGGUGGUUUGUUAAGUUGAAUGUGAAAUCCCCGGGCUCAACCUGGGAACUGCAUCCAAAACUGGCAAGCUAGAGUAUGGUAUACUGGUGGUGGAAUUUC